RNAcentral lists this ribosomal RNA (496 nucleotides) under uncultured bacterium. RNAcentral describes it as "partial 16S ribosomal RNA". It matches the Rfam family "Bacterial small subunit ribosomal RNA", at positions 29 to 507 of the family's 1533-position model. The record is from RNAcentral.
AUGAACGCUGGCGGCGUGCCUAAUACAUGCAAGUCGAGCGAACGGACGAGAAGCUUGCUUCUCUGAUGUUAGCGGCGGACGGGUGAGUAACACGUGGAUAACCUACCUAUAAGACUGGGAUAACUUCGGGAAACCGGAGCUAAUACCGGAUAAUAUUUUGAACCGCAUGGUUCAAAAGUGAAAGACGGUCUUGCUGUCACUUAUAGAUGGAUCCGCGCUGCAUUAGCUAGUUGGUAAGGUAACGGCUUACCAAGGCAACGAUGCAUAGCCGACCUGAGAGGGUGAUCGGCCACACUGGAACUGAGACACGGUCCAGACUCCUACGGGAGGCAGCAGUAGGGAAUCUUCCGCAAUGGGCGAAAGCCUGACGGAGCAACGCCGCAUGAGUGAUGAAGGUCUUCGGAUCGUAAAACUCUGUUAUUAGGGAAGAACAUAUGUGUAAGUAACUGUGCACAUCUUGACGGUACCUAAUCAGAAAGCCACGGCUAACUACGUG